GAUGAACGCUGGCGGCGUGCCUAAUACAUGCAAGUCGAGCGAACAGACGAGGAGCUUGCUCCUCUGACGUUAGCGGCGGACGGGUGAGUAACACGUGGAUAACCUACCUAUAAGACUGGGAUAACUUCGGGAAACCGGAGCUAAUACCGGAUAAUAUAUUGAACCGCAUGGUUCAAUGGUGCAACACGGUUUUGCUGUCACUUAUAGACGGUUCCGCGCCGCAUUAGCUAGUUGGUAAGGUAACGGCUUACCAAGGCAACGAUGCGUAGCCGACCUGAGAGGGUGAUCGGCCACACUGGAACUGAGACACGGUCCAGACUCCUACGGGAGGCAGCAGUAGGGAAUCUUCCGCAAUGGGCGAAAGCCUGACGGAGCAACGCCGCGUGAGUGAUGAAGGUCUUCGGAUCGUAAAACUCUGUUAUUAGGGAAGAACAAAUGUGUAAGUAACUAUGCACGUCUUGACGGUACCUAAUCAGAAAGCCACGGCUAACUACGUG
RNAcentral lists this ribosomal RNA (497 nucleotides) under uncultured bacterium. RNAcentral describes it as "partial 16S ribosomal RNA". It matches the Rfam family "Bacterial small subunit ribosomal RNA", at positions 28 to 507 of the family's 1533-position model. The record is from RNAcentral.